RNAcentral lists this small RNA (52 nucleotides) under Arabidopsis thaliana (thale cress). RNAcentral's name for it is "ATSL253680". Lineage: Eukaryota; Viridiplantae; Streptophyta; Magnoliopsida; Brassicales; Brassicaceae. The record is from RNAcentral.
AAAUGUUUGGGAGAAAUGGACAGGAACCGGAAGAUGUAGGACCAACGAGGAU